UNGGAGAGGAAAGUGGAAUUCCUAGUGUAGCGGUGAAAUGCGUAGAUAUUAGGAAGAACACCAGUGGCGAAGGCGACUUUCUGGACGAAAACUGACGCUGAGGCGCGAAAGCCNGGGGAGCGAACGGGAUUAGAUACCCCGGUAGUCCUGGCCGUAAACGAUGGGUACUAGGUGUAGGAGGUAUCGACCCCUUCUGUGCCGGAGUUAACGCAAUAAGUACCCCGCCUGGGGAGUACGACCGCAAGGUUGAAACUCAAAGGAAUUGACGGGGGCCCGCACAAGCGGUGGAGUAUGUGGUUUAAUUCGACGCAACGCGAAGAACCUUACCAGGUCUUGACAUUGAUGGACAGAACCAGAGAUGGUUCCUCUUCUUCGGAAGCCAGAAAACAGGUGGUGCACGGUUGUCGUCAGCUCGUGUCGUGAGAUGUUGGGUUAAGUCCCGCUACGAGCGCAACCCCUAUCUUAUGUUGCCAGCACGUAAAGGUGGGAACUCAUGAGAGACUGCCGCAGACAAUGCGGAGGAAGGCGGGGAUGACGUCAAAUCAUCAUGCCCCUUAUGACCUGGGCUACACACGUACUACAAUGGGAGUUAAUAGACGGAAGCGAGAUCGCGAGAUGGAGCAAACCCGAGAAACACUCUCUCAGUUCGGAUCGUAGGCUGCAACUCGCCUACGUGAAGUCGGAAUCGCUAGUAAUCGCAGGUCAGCAUACUGCGGUGAAUACGUUCCCGGGCCUUGUACACACCGCCCGUCACACCACGAAAGUCGGAAGUGUCC
RNAcentral lists this ribosomal RNA (776 nucleotides) under uncultured bacterium. RNAcentral's name for it is "bacterial SSU rRNA". It matches the Rfam family "Bacterial small subunit ribosomal RNA", at positions 649 to 1422 of the family's 1533-position model. The record is from RNAcentral.